UUAGGACAUUUUUGAUAUAUAUCAGGGGAUAAUUUGAUUGAAUAUUGCAAUUUUGGAUAUACUGAGACGGGCAUUUAGGAGGUGAAAAUACACCAACAAACUGUAAGCUAUUUUUUUCCAAAAAGAACAGAUACGAAGGUACAGGAUUUCACUGCCCAACAGAUGAAGAAAUCCUGGCUGCAGAACAACUUUGCUAUGAGCGUCACAGUGAUGAGUCAUGUUCAUGUGGAAAGUGUACUCAUCUGGAGAUCUUUUGUCUAGCAUAUUGGCCAUGUCUCAUAUGUUUCAGGGUCAGCACACAUUGUAGCUCAAUAAAUAAGGUCACUGUGUGGAUAACCAGCAUAUAAGCUGCUCUGAACUCCUUGGGAAAAAGCAGGAUGAAAAUAUCCAUUUCAUUUAUUUAGAAUAUUUCAAGUUUCUACUACCAUGGAUGCCAAAAGUUCUUCAGUAGAGACACUGACUAAAUUUAGAGCUGUUUGGCCACAGCAUCAUAUUCCAUCAUCAUCUUAUUACAGACAUAAGAGUGGUGACCCACAGAUUAGAAGCUUCCUGGCAGUCAGAAGUACUGGGAUAUCGAGCAGGGUAUUAGUAUCUCUUGGUGGCAUAAGGUUCAAAUACAACUGAGGGCCAGCAAUUUUAGCAGCCAAGAAAAGAUGCAUGGAUUAGAUGCUAUCAACAGCAGCUCAAACAUAAUUUGGUUGGAUCCUGCAAUUAAAGCCAUUGUUUUCA
This is a long non-coding RNA of Varanus komodoensis (Komodo dragon), 729 nucleotides long. RefSeq lists it as uncharacterized. The record is from RefSeq and is a predicted model, not a curated record. NCBI's taxonomy places the organism in Eukaryota, Metazoa, Chordata, Lepidosauria, Squamata, Varanidae. The transcript is spliced from 2 exons.